RNAcentral lists this ribosomal RNA (597 nucleotides) under Ampelomyces sp. LK-2010. RNAcentral describes it as "eukaryotic LSU rRNA". The stretch from base 244 to 397 matches the Rfam family "5.8S ribosomal RNA". Lineage: Eukaryota; Fungi; Ascomycota; Dothideomycetes; Pleosporales; Phaeosphaeriaceae. The record is from RNAcentral.
GAAGUAAAAGUCGUAACAAGGUUUCCGUAGGUGAACCUGCGGAAGGAUCAUUACAUUUAGUAGCUUGCUACUGCUAAGAGGGUCUGUUAGGCUGUAUAGUAUUGCUACUGACGAGCAGCAUGAUCCUCUGAGUCAACCCUUGUCUUUGGUGUACCUACGUUUCCUCAGCGGGCACAACCCGCUGGCUGGACAAAAUUUAAACUCUUGAAUAUUCAAUCAGUGUCUGAGAAACUUAAUAAUUACAACUUUCAACAACGGAUCUCUUGGUUCUGGCAUCGAUGAAGAACGCAGCGAAAUGCGAUAAGUAGUGUGAAUUGCAGAAUUCAGUGAAUCAUCGAAUCUUUGAACGCACAUUGCGCCCCUUGGUAUUCCAUGGGGCAUGCCUGUCCGAGCGUCAUUUGUACCCUCAAGCUCUGCUUGGUGUUGGGUGUUUGUCUCUGCUUUUGCUUAGACUCACCUCAAAGGAAUUGGCAGCCAGUGUUUUGGCAUAGAAGUGCAGCACAUUUUGCACUUGUAGGUUAAAUACCAGCUUCCAGUAAGCCCCUUUACUUUUGACCUCGGAUCAGGUAGGGAUACCCGCUGAACUUAAGCAUAUCA